Molecule: non-coding RNA, 28 nt
Filed under: Bombyx mori (domestic silkworm)
Lineage: Eukaryota; Metazoa; Arthropoda; Insecta; Lepidoptera; Bombycidae
Source: RNAcentral
UGAUAUUAGAGAAAUUGGCCUAUAGUUC